ACGAACGCUGGCGGCGUGCUUAACACCUGCAAGUCGAACGGAAAGGCCCCUUUGGGGGUACUCGCGUGGCGAACGGGUGAGUAACACGUGAGUAACCUGCCCUUGACUUCGGGAUAACUUCAGGAAACUGGGGCUAAUACCGGAUAGGAAUCCUUGCUGCAUGGUGGGGGUUGGAAAGCUUCGGCGGUUUUGGAUGGACUCGCGGCUUAUCAGCUUGUUGGUGGGGUAGUGGCUUACCAAGGCUUUGACGGGUAGCCGGCCUGAGAGGGCGACCGGCCACAUUGGGACUGAGAUACGGCCCAGACUCCUACGGGAGGCAGCAGUGGGGAAUAUUGCACAAUGGGCGGAAGCCUGAUGCAGCAACGCCGCGGGCGGGAUGACGGCCUUCGGGUUGGAAACCGCGUUCAGCAGGGGCGAAGCUUGUGGUGACGGUACCUGCAGAAGAAGCACCGGCUAACUACGUG
This 464-nucleotide ribosomal RNA is filed under the name uncultured bacterium. RNAcentral's name for it is "partial 16S ribosomal RNA". It matches the Rfam family "Bacterial small subunit ribosomal RNA", at positions 29 to 507 of the family's 1533-position model. The record is from RNAcentral.